CAGUCAUGUGCCCUGACCAGCAAUUGAACCCUGACCUCCUGCUUCACAGGUCCAUGCCCAACCACUGAGCAACACCAGCCAGGCUCUUUCUUUUAAAGAAAGGCAGUGGCUUAACCCAAAGCCCCCGUUCCUGCAUGGUGACCCCUGUUCUGGGGGUUAACGUCAAGGGACUCGGCCAUCAGGCCCCCGCCCCUGCCCCAACACAUAGGCUGCACUGCAUUCCCUUGCUUUCCACCCUGUUUGUGAGGCCUCUUCCCCCUCCUCCUCCUCCUCCUCCUCCUCCUCCUCCUCCUCCUCCUCCUCCUUCUCCUUCACCUGGCUUCUGUCUUCUCAAUGUUUUGAACUUUGGCCAACAUCACGUCCUCAGAGAUGCUCUUCUGGAUCCUGUGACUCAGCUGUUUCUCCCGGGCUUCCCAGCGCUGUGCUCGGAAAAAGCGUUGCCGUUGGCCAGCGGUGGUUGCCGCCCAGCCUGUCCCCCCAGGGCGGGAGCCAGGCAGGGGCCAUAUCUGCUUGGACUUACCGUCCCAAGUCUAAGGGAUGAGUGGCAAACGGAUGAGUGGACACAUGCUUACUGAGCACCUCCUAUGUACCGACCAGUCACCGUCCGAGGCUCUAGGGACACCCAGAUCUUGUCUCUUGGAAGAUUAUCUGCCAGAGCAGCUGAUUUUCAACCCUUUUCAUCUCGUGGCACAGGAGUGAGUUUCUAAAAUUCUGCGGCACUCCAAAAAUAUAUUACGUUUUUGCCGAUCUGGCAACAACAAUAGGCACAACUUUGAUUCAUUCACACCGGACGGCUAUGACUGUGUUGGCUGUUGUCAUUUUUAAUUUCAUUUUAUUUAUUUAUUUUUUUGUUAUUUUUUAAUUUGACAAUCCAAGGGGGAAAGAGGUCAGUGCCCCUGGCUAAAUGGUCAGGUAUCACAUGUUUUAAAACUUCUUGUGGGACACCGGGAGAAAGAUACGCACUAGUUUAAUAAUCACACAUGUUACUAUGCAAUCUUUUUUUUUAUUUUUUCAAUACAUAUAUCUUUAUUGAUUUCAGAGAGGAAGGGAGAAGAGAGAAACAUCAAUGAUGAGAGAGAAUCAUGGAUCGGCUGCCUCCUGCUCGCCCCACACUGGGGAUGCGGCCCGAAACCCGGACAUGUGCCCUGACCGGGAAUAGACCUGUGACCUCCUGGUUCCUGGGUCAAAGCUUAACCACUAAGCCACACCUCCAGGCUUGCUGUGCAAUCUUGAACUGACGCAGGCUUUGAAGAAGAGGAUGUUAGGAGGCGGUGGUGGAGCCCAGCGGCUGGGUGAGCGGCACUGUGACCUGGUAGCGUGGGGACACGCAGCCCCAGGGGUAAGCCCGGGACUGACAUCGCACCUCCGCAGACCCAGCCUGGCCACGCCAGCCGGUGACUAACAGGGUGUAAUAAGGGAAGCUCGCCUCCUAGGCAUGUCUUGGGCAAGAGCAAGAUGAAAUGGAUCCCCAGGCCGCUUGGCAGGGGCCAAAGAAGUCUAUGGGGUAAACGGUGGGGGAAUCGUCAGGGGGCGGGUACGUGAGUGCCACCAGGUCUAGGCAAUUCCUUCACGUGCCUGACCUGGUCAGGACAGCGACCCGUUCCAGGAAGUAGCACCCCGCUCGUCCAGGAGGCCCCGGAAGGUGCUGAUUCAUGUCUGAGUGAAUGUCAGGCACGAUCAGGACGCCUGAGAGCAGGGCUUCCAGAAAGCAACCUCUGCCCCAUGGGGCCAGCUCCUGGGCCAGGGGGCGGCUGAGUCAUGGAACAGCCUCUCCCUCCAAGGCCGGGCGCCUGGGUGUCAUGCUGGGUGUGCUUCAGGCAGGACACAGGUGACAGUACCUGGUGGUUUUUCUUGGGGAGCCAAGCCUCCCUCGUACUCAUCCUGACCUUGCCUGCAUCUAGCCAAACUGGGUAGCCAUCUCCUAGGACUCCUCAGUCUAGGCAUGAAUUUGGACUCAAGUCAAGUCUGGGAGCCUCAAAGAAAGACUCCCAAGACUAUGAAGAAAGACGUGGAUCUCGUUCAGCACUUAGGACUUUGUGCUCAAGAGAGAAGGGAAGAGAUGGAUGGACACAGAUCGAUGCCUCAUGAUUUCCCUCCAGCACCUGGAUCCAGCCAUGCCUGAAGCCCAUAGGGGUAUAAUUGUGCCUAAAUGUACAUACUACCUAUGGCCCUUAAAGCUAUUGACUGAACAAUUCUCCCAUCUUUCUAUUUGGCUUAAGCUCAUUGUCACAGGGCUUUGGUUACUUACAACUAAAAGUGCCUUUAUUAAGACAA
Long non-coding RNA from Myotis myotis, 2274 nucleotides. RefSeq lists it as uncharacterized. The transcript is spliced from 2 exons. Lineage: Eukaryota; Metazoa; Chordata; Mammalia; Chiroptera; Vespertilionidae. The record is from RefSeq and is a predicted model, not a curated record.